This is a long non-coding RNA of Oryzias melastigma (Indian medaka), 354 nucleotides long. RefSeq lists it as uncharacterized. The record is from RefSeq and is a predicted model, not a curated record. NCBI's taxonomy places the organism in Eukaryota, Metazoa, Chordata, Actinopteri, Beloniformes, Adrianichthyidae. The transcript is spliced from 4 exons.
GAGGGAGCCCCUCCCUCUAAAAGCACUCUGUGUGGGGAAGAUGAGAGCCAGAGCAAAGCUCAGAGGAACCAACCUGGAUCUGGACCUGGAUCUGGAUCUGGAUCCCAUUGGGGGUCCUUGAGGAGUGAAAGAUCAAGGAAUUGGUCUCCUGACUUCAAAGACAUCAGUUCAGUAGGGGGACAGAUCCAUCAGAGAUUCAGAACUGGAUCUGAACCCAGCUGUGUGUCCUUCAGGAGUGACCAUUCAAAUUUUCGUUUUAUCGACUUUAAAUCAUCAUCUUCUGGUGGAGAGAGAGUGGACCAGCAGAGCUCAGAGACCCCCAGUGGUCCGUCUGUCCAGCAGCAUCAAACACAG